This 434-nucleotide ribosomal RNA is filed under the name uncultured bacterium. RNAcentral's name for it is "partial 16S ribosomal RNA". It matches the Rfam family "Bacterial small subunit ribosomal RNA", at positions 341 to 792 of the family's 1533-position model. The record is from RNAcentral.
ACGGGAGGCAGCAGUGGGGGAUAUUGCGCGAUGGGGGAAACCCUGAUGCAGCGACGCCGCGUGAGUGAUGAAGUAUUUCGGUAUGUAAAGCUCUAUCAGCGGGGAAGAUAAUGACGGUACCUGACUAAGAAGCACCGGCUAAAUACGUGCCAGCAGCCGCGGUAAUACGUAUGGUGCAAGCGUUAUCCGGAUUUACUGGGCGUAAAGGGAGCGUAGACGGCAUGGCAAGCCAGAUGUGAAAGGCAGGGGCUCAACCCCUGGACUGCAUUUGGAACUGUCAAGCUAGAGUAUCGGAGAGGUAAGUGGAAUUCCUAGUGUAGCGGUGAAAUGCGUAGAUAUUAGGAGGAACACCAGUGGCGAAGGCGGCUUACUGGACGAUAACUGACGUUGAGGCUCGAAAGCGUGGGGAGCAAACAGGAUUAGAUACCCUGGUA